This 645-nucleotide ribosomal RNA is filed under the name Tenunemellus indicus. Its description in RNAcentral is "partial large subunit ribosomal RNA". It matches the Rfam family "Eukaryotic large subunit ribosomal RNA", at positions 415 to 905 of the family's 3401-position model. Lineage: Eukaryota; Metazoa; Nematoda; Chromadorea; Rhabditida; Ecphyadophoridae. The record is from RNAcentral.
GGAAACGGACAGAGCCAACCUAUCUGGCUUGCAUUCAGCUGUUCGCGCGUCCGCCCGACGGUCAUCGGACCAGCCUAUGGCCGGUGACUGGCGUGCGUGGCCACGCGAGCAGUGCAUUUGCAAGUGGAGUGCGCUGAGCGGUGCGGAUCAGCGGUUCGAUGCUCGUCGCAGAGGCUUCCGCUUUGGCAGAAGUACCCAGGCGAGCGGAAGACUGUUUGGUCUGCAUUUAUGCUGCAAGGGCGACGGCCUUGCGGAGCCACUCGUCCACGCGGUGUCCGCUCGUAACGGUCGCAUGCGACACGUGCUUGCGGGCGCUGCGUUGGGCGGAUGGCCCCUCGGUCGCCCGGCUCGGCGUAAAAGUUGGUCAUCUCUCCGACCCGUCUUGAAACACGGACCAAGGAGUUUAGCGUAUGCGCGAGUCAUUGGGUGGCAAACCCAAAGGCGCAAUGAAAGUGAAGUGAUGGAUGCGAACCGGGGCGCUACGACGCCUCGGCGCAGCAUGGCCCCGUCCCGAUCGCUUGCGAUGGGGCGGAGGCAGAGCGCAUGCGCUGAGACCCGAAAGAUGGUGAACUAUUCCCGAGCAGGACGAAGCCAGAGGAAACUCUGGUGGAAGUCCGAAGCGGUUCUGACGUGCAAAUCGAUCGU